This 253-nucleotide ribosomal RNA is filed under the name uncultured bacterium. Its description in RNAcentral is "partial 16S ribosomal RNA". It matches the Rfam family "Bacterial small subunit ribosomal RNA", at positions 524 to 776 of the family's 1533-position model. The record is from RNAcentral.
GACGAACCGUGCGAACGUUGUCCGGAAUCAUUGGGCGUAAAGAGCGUGUAGGCGGCCCGGUAAGUCCGCUGUGAAAGUCGAGGGCUCAACCCUCGAAUGCCGGCGGAUACUGUCGGGCUAGAGUCCGGAAGAGGCGAGUGGAAUUCCUGGUGUAGCGGUGAAAUGCGCAGAUAUCAGGAGGAACACCUACGGCGAAGGCAGCUCGCUGGGACGGUACUGACGCUGAGACGCGAAAGCGUGGGGAGCAAACAGG